UCUGGCUCAGGAUGAACGCUGGCGGCGUGCUUAACACAUGCAAGUCGAACGAUGAAGCCCAGCUUGCUGGGUGGAUUAGUGGCGAACGGGUGAGUAACACGUGAGCAACCUGCCCCUGACUCUGGGAUAAGCGCUGGAAACGGCGUCUAAUACUGGAUAUGUCCCGUCACCGCAUGGUGUGCGGGUGGAAAGAUUUUUCGGUUGGGGAUGGGCUCGCGGCCUAUCAGCUUGUUGGUGAGGUAAUGGCUCACCAAGGCGUCGACGGGUAGCCGGCCUGAGAGGGUGACCGGCCACACUGGGACUGAGACACGGCCCAGACUCCUACGGGAGGCAGCAGUGGGGAAUAUUGCACAAUGGGCGCAAGCCUGAUGCAGCAACGCCGCGUGAGGGAUGACGGCCUUCGGGUUGUAAACCUCUUUUAGCAGGGAAGAAGCGAGAGUGACGGUACCUGCAGAAAAAGCACCGGCUAACUACGUGCCAGCAGCCGCGGUAAUACGUAGGGUGCAAGCGUUAUCCGGAAUUAUUGGGCGUAAAGAGCUCGUAGGCGGUUUGUCGCGUCUGCUGUGAAAUUCCGAGGCUCAACCUCGGGCUUGCAGUGGGUACGGGCAGACUAGAGUGCGGUAGGGGAGAUUGGAAUUCCUGGUGUAGCGGUGGAAUGCGCAGAUAUCAGGAGGAACACCGAUGGCGAAGGCAGAUCUCUGGGCCGUAACUGACGCUGAGGAGCGAAAGGGUGGGGAGCAAACAGGCUUAGAUACCCUGGUAGUCCACCCCGUAAACGUUGGGAACUAGUUGUGGGGUCCUUUCCACGGAUUCCGUGACGCAGCUAACGCAAUUAG
RNAcentral lists this ribosomal RNA (836 nucleotides) under Microbacterium sp. RNAcentral describes it as "bacterial SSU rRNA". It matches the Rfam family "Bacterial small subunit ribosomal RNA", at positions 18 to 864 of the family's 1533-position model. The record is from RNAcentral. Lineage: Bacteria; Bacillati; Actinomycetota; Actinomycetes; Micrococcales; Microbacteriaceae.